RNAcentral lists this ribosomal RNA (253 nucleotides) under uncultured bacterium. Its description in RNAcentral is "partial 16S ribosomal RNA". It matches the Rfam family "Bacterial small subunit ribosomal RNA", at positions 524 to 776 of the family's 1533-position model. The record is from RNAcentral.
UACGUAGGGUGCAAGCGUUAAUCGGAAUUACUGGGCGUAAAGCGUGCGCAGGCGGUUGUGUAAGUCAGAGGUGAAAUCCCCGGGCUCAACCUGGGAGCUGCCUUUGAGACUGUGCAACUAGAGGAUGGCAGAGGGGGGUAGAAUUCCACGUGUAGCAGUGAAAUGCGUAGAGAUGUGGAGGAAUACCGAUGGCGAAGGCAGCCCCCUGGGCUAUAACUGACGCUCAUGCACGAAAGCGUGGGGAGCAAACAGG